RNAcentral lists this ribosomal RNA (301 nucleotides) under uncultured bacterium. RNAcentral's name for it is "partial 16S ribosomal RNA". It matches the Rfam family "Bacterial small subunit ribosomal RNA", at positions 509 to 807 of the family's 1533-position model. The record is from RNAcentral.
CAGUCGCCGCGUUAAUACAGAGGGUGCGAGCGUUAAUCGGAUUUACUGGGCGUAAAGCGUGCGUAGGCGGCUUCUUAAGUCGGAUGUGAAAUCCCUGAGCUUAACUUAGGAAUUGCAUUCGAUACUGGGAAGCUAGAGUAUGGGAGAGGAUGGUAGAAUUCCAGGUGUAGCGGUGAAAUGCGUAGAGAUCUGGAGGAAUACCGAUGGCGAAGGCAGCCAUCUGGCCUAAUACUGACGCUGAGGUACGAAAGCAUGGGGAGCAAACAGGAUUAGAUACCCCCGUAGUCCCUGUCUCUUAUAC